GAUGAACGCUGGCGGCGUGCCUAAUACAUGCAAGUCGAGCGAACAGACGAGGAGCUUGCUCCUCUGACGUUAGCGGCGGACGGGUGAGUAACACGUGGAUAACCUACCUAUAAGACUGGGAUAACUUCGGGAAACCGGAGCUAAUACCGGAUAAUAUAUUGAACCGCAUGGUUCAAUAGUGAAAGACGGUUUUGCUGUCACUUAUAGAUGGAUCCGCGCCGCAUUAGCUAGUUGGUAAGGUAACGGCUUACCAAGGCAACGAUGCGUAGCCGACCUGAGAGGGCGAUCGGCCACACUGGAACUGAGACACGGUCCAGACUCCUACGGGAGGCAGCAGUAGGGAAUCUUCCGCAAUGGGCGAAAGCCUGACGGAGCAACGCCGCGUGAGUGAUGAAGGUCUUCGGAUCGUAAAACUCUGUUAUUAGGGAAGAACAAAUGUGUAAGUAACUGUGCACGUCUUGACGGUACCUAAUCAGAAAGCCACGGCUAACUACGUG
This 497-nucleotide ribosomal RNA is filed under the name uncultured bacterium. Its description in RNAcentral is "partial 16S ribosomal RNA". It matches the Rfam family "Bacterial small subunit ribosomal RNA", at positions 28 to 507 of the family's 1533-position model. The record is from RNAcentral.